RNAcentral lists this non-coding RNA (27 nucleotides) under Mus musculus (house mouse). The record is from RNAcentral. Lineage: Eukaryota; Metazoa; Chordata; Mammalia; Rodentia; Muridae.
UUGUCAGUCAGGAUCAAUCAUGGAGGC